Molecule: long non-coding RNA, 310 nt
Filed under: Ananas comosus (pineapple)
Lineage: Eukaryota; Viridiplantae; Streptophyta; Magnoliopsida; Poales; Bromeliaceae
Description: long non-coding RNA (ACOM_LNC027550)
Source: RNAcentral
GAUGCAAACGAGGCGGAUCUGAGAGUUUGAAUUGGGUCCGAUUCGGAGUUAAUUAAUUUUUAUCUUAUUUUUGUUUCUAUUUAUCGUUUCAUUCGUAGGACAGAUCGAAACGAAAGCAGAAUUUUAACGAAUUUUUGGUAUGUCGGAAGGAAUCAUAAGAAGAAGGAAAUUUCUCGUCUUUCAUUGUUUUUUUUUUGACAGAUCGGGACUGAUUAGGUACAGAUUAUUUUUCUAUAUUUUCGGCUCUUAUGUAGGGUCUCAUUCGGGGCGGAUCGGAAUGAAAGCCCCAGCAGCAAUCCGGAUCCGUUUG